RNAcentral lists this ribosomal RNA (777 nucleotides) under uncultured Neocallimastigales. RNAcentral describes it as "partial large subunit ribosomal RNA". It matches the Rfam family "Eukaryotic large subunit ribosomal RNA", at positions 22 to 631 of the family's 3401-position model. The record is from RNAcentral. Lineage: Eukaryota; Fungi; Neocallimastigomycota; Neocallimastigomycetes; Neocallimastigales.
AUAGCGACUAUCGUGGCAUAUCAAUAAGCGGAGGAAAAGAAACUAACAAGGAUUCCCCUAGUAACGGCGAGUGAAGCGGGAAGAGCUCAAAUUUGAAAUCUUAAAGGGUUUCCCUUUACGAAUUGUAGUUUAAAGAAGUGUUUUCUGUUGGAGUUUCGGUAAAAGUUCUUUGGAAUAGGACAUCAUAGAGGGUGAGAAUCCCGUAUUUGACCGUUACUUUCCAGCUGUGUGAUACACUUUCAAAGAGUCGGAUUGUUUGGGAAUGCAGUCCAAAAUGGGUGGUAAAUUUCAUCUAAAGCUAAAUAUUGGCGAGAGACCGAUAGCGAACAAGUACCGUGAGGGAAAGAUGAAAAGAACUUUGAAAAGAGAGUUAAACAGUACGUGAAAUUGUCAAAAGGGAAGCGUUUGACACCAGUGUUGUUUAGUUGAAAAUCAAUUCAAUAAUUUUUGAUUUUAAGUAGUAUUGACUUCAUCAGCUUGCUGCUUUCUUUUCGGAAAUUAUUGAAUGCACUUUUCAGUUAACAAGUCAACAUCAAUUUCUUUUGUUGUAAAAGGGUAAGAGGAAGGUGGCUUACGCUUCGGCGUAAGUGUUUAUAGCCUUUUACCUCUGCAAUCGGAGAGAUUGAGGAUCAGCAGCGUAGACUCCUUCGGGGUUAGAUACACUUGUGCUAAGCUAUAGCCUUGUAUAGACAACUUGUUGACUAUGCUUCAGUCAUGUAGCUUACUCGCUAUUGCUAUUUUACCUACGCUUAGGAUGUUGAUAGUCACAGCGUGUAC